GAUGAACGCUCGCGGCAGGCCUAAUACAUGCAAGUCGAACGGGUGGUCGCAAGACCACUAGUGGCGCACGGGUGCGUAACGCGUAACCAACCUGCCCCGAUCUGGGGGAUAGCCCGCCGAAAGGCGGAUUAAUACCGCAUAUACCCGCAGCCUGGCAUCAGGCAACGGGGAAAGAUUUAUUGGAUCGGGAUGGGGUUGCGUGACAUUAGCUAGUUGGCGGGGUAAGGGCCCACCAAGGCGACGAUGUCUAGGGGACCUAAGAGGGUGAUCCCCCACACUGGCACUGAGAUACGGGCCAGACUCCUACGGGAGGCAGCAGUAGGGAAUAUUGGGCAAUGGGCGAGAGCCUGACCCAGCCAUGCCGCGUGCCGGAUGAAGGCCUUCUGGGUUGUAAACGGCUUUUCUCAGGGAAGAAAAAGACCUUGCGAGGUACACUGACGGUACCUGAGGAAUAAGCACCGGCUAACUCCGUG
Molecule: ribosomal RNA, 473 nt
Filed under: uncultured bacterium
Lineage: Bacteria
Description: partial 16S ribosomal RNA
Rfam family: Bacterial small subunit ribosomal RNA
Source: RNAcentral